RNAcentral lists this ribosomal RNA (367 nucleotides) under Salmonella enterica subsp. enterica serovar Infantis. RNAcentral's name for it is "partial 23S ribosomal RNA". It matches the Rfam family "Bacterial large subunit ribosomal RNA", at positions 161 to 566 of the family's 2925-position model. The record is from RNAcentral. Lineage: Bacteria; Pseudomonadati; Pseudomonadota; Gammaproteobacteria; Enterobacterales; Enterobacteriaceae. RNAcentral also lists the same sequence under 4 other names.
AAUCCAUAGGUUAAUGAGGCGAACCGGGGGAACUGAAACAUCUAAGUACCCCGAGGAAAAGAAAUCAACCGAGAUUCCCCCAGUAGCGGCGAGCGAACGGGGAGGAGCCCAGAGCCUGAAUCAGCAUGUGUGUUAGUGGAAGCGUCUGGAAAGGCGCGCGAUACAGGGUGACAGCCCCGUACACAAAAGCGCAUGUGCUGUGAGCUCGAUGAGUAGGGCGGGACACGUGGUAUCCUGUCUGAAUAUGGGGGGACCAUCCUCCAAGGCUAAAUACUCCUGACUGACCGAUAGUGAACCAGUACCGUGAGGGAAAGGCGAAAAGAACCCCGGCGAGGGGAGUGAAAAAGAACCUGAAACCGUGUACGUA